CUACGGGCGGCACCAGUGAGGAAUAUUGCACAAUGGGGGGAACCCUGAUGCAGCAACGCCGCGUGGAGGAUGACGCAUUUCGGUGUGUAAACUCCUUUUAUAUGUCAAGAAAAUGACGGUAGCAUAUGAAUAAGCACCGGCUAGCUCCGUGCCAGCAGCCGCGGUAAUACGGAGGGUGCAAGCGUUACUCGGAAUCACUGGGCGUAAAGGACGCGUAGGCGGGUUGGAAAGUCAGGUGUGAAAUCCUACAGCUUAACUGUAGAACUGCACUUGAAACUUCUAAUCUAGAGUAUGGGAGGGGGAGAUGGAAUUAGUGGUGUAGGGGUAAAAUCCGUAGAUAUCACUAGGAAUACCUAAAGCGAAGGCGAUCUCCUGGAGCAUUACUGACGCUAAGGCGUGAAAGCGUGGGGAGCAAACAGGAUUAGAUACCCUCGUAGUC
RNAcentral lists this ribosomal RNA (439 nucleotides) under uncultured bacterium. RNAcentral describes it as "partial 16S ribosomal RNA". It matches the Rfam family "Bacterial small subunit ribosomal RNA", at positions 339 to 795 of the family's 1533-position model. The record is from RNAcentral.